GCCAACAGCUAUACCACCCUUAAUGUUCCUGAUCUUGUCCGAUCUCAGAAGCUAAGCAGGUUUGGGCCUGGUUAAUACUUGGAU
Molecule: ribosomal RNA, 84 nt
Filed under: Saimiri boliviensis boliviensis (Bolivian squirrel monkey)
Lineage: Eukaryota; Metazoa; Chordata; Mammalia; Primates; Cebidae
Source: RNAcentral